Molecule: long non-coding RNA, 258 nt
Filed under: Physcomitrium patens
Lineage: Eukaryota; Viridiplantae; Streptophyta; Bryopsida; Funariales; Funariaceae
Description: long non-coding RNA (PPAT_LNC001523)
Source: RNAcentral
CUCACAAGUGUUCUUGGCAGUUGUGAUUGCUUGUUUUACUUAUUCCGAAAGAAACCUCCUAGAAUAAAUCCGUAUAAGGGGAUUCGAAUAUGGGGAAUGACUAGUUGCUUAAGCGUUUACAUUAGGGUCACACAAUCAAUUACCUCCUGCAUGUAUCGUCUCUAUUUCCAAUAUCUGAACACACAAGGAAACUAUAAUCUCUUCCUUCACCUUAUCGGUCUCUUCUUUAUAACAAUUCAAUCAUACCAAUAACUGCUA